CAUUUGAGUGAGUGGCGAACUGGUGAGUAACACGUGGGAAACCUGCCCAGAAGCGGGGGAUAACACCUGGAAACAGAUGCUAAUACCGCAUAACAACUUGGACCGCAUGGUCCGAGUUUGAAAGAUGGCUUCGGCUAUCACUUUUGGAUGGUCCCGCGGCGUAUUAGCUAGAUGGUGGGGUAACGGCUCACCAUGGCAAUGAUACGUAGCCGACCUGAGAGGGUAAUCGGCCACAUUGGGACUGAGACACGGCCCAAACUCCUACGGGAGGCAGCAGUAGGGAAUCUUCCACAAUGGACGAAAGUCUGAUGGAGCAACGCCGCGUGAGUGAAGAAGGGUUUCGGCUCGUAAAACUCUGUUGUUAAAGAAGAACAUAUCUGAGAGUAACUGUUCAGGUAUUGACGGUAUUUAACCAGAAAGCCACGGCUAACUACGUGCCAGCAGCCGCGGUAAUACGUAGGUGGCAAGCGUUGUCCGGAUUUAUUGGGCGUAAAGCGAGCGCAGGCGGUUUUUUAAGUCUGAUGUGAAAGCCUUCGGCUCAACCGAAGAAGUGCAUCGGAAACUGGGAAACUUGAGUGCAGAAGAGGACAGUGGAACUCCAUGUGUAGCGGUGAAAUGCGUAGAUAUAUGGAAGAACACCAGUGGCGAAGGCGGCUGUCUGGUCUGUAACUGACGCUGAGGCUCGAAAGUAUGGGUAGCAAACAGGAUUAGAUACCCUGGUAGUCCAUACCGUAAACGAUGAAUGCUAAGUGUUGGAGGGUUUCCGCCCUUCAGUGCUGCAGCUAACGCAUUAAGCAUUCCGCCUGGGGAGUACGGCCGCAAGGCUGAAACUCAAAGGAAUUGACGGGGGCCCGCACAAGCGGUGGAGCAUGUGGUUUAAUUCGAAGCUACGCGAAGAACCUUACCAGGUCUUGACAUACUAUGCAAAUCUAAGAGAUUAGACGUUCCCUUCGGGGACAUGGAUACAGGUGGUGCAUGGUUGUCGUCAGCUCGUGUCGUGAGAUGUUGGGUUAAGUCCCGCAACGAGCGCAACCCUUAUUAUCAGUUGCCAGCAUUAAGUUGGGCACUCUGGUGAGACUGCCGGUGACAAACCGGAGGAAGGUGGGGAUGACGUCAAAUCAUCAUGCCCCUUAUGACCUGGGCUACACACGUGCUACAAUGGAUGGUACAACGAGUUGCGAACUCGCGAGAGUAAGCUAAUCUCUUAAAGCCAUUCUCAGUUCGGAUUGUAGGCUGCAACUCGCCUACAUGAAGUCGGAAUCGCUAGUAAUCGCGGAUCAGCAUGCCGCGGUGAAUACGUUCCCGGGCCUUGUACACACCGCCCGUCACACCAUGAGAGUU
Molecule: ribosomal RNA, 1341 nt
Filed under: Lactiplantibacillus plantarum
Lineage: Bacteria; Bacillati; Bacillota; Bacilli; Lactobacillales; Lactobacillaceae
Description: bacterial SSU rRNA
Rfam family: Bacterial small subunit ribosomal RNA
Source: RNAcentral